AGAAAAAUGUGCAACCCUACUCGGCUGAUGUCAAGUUCAAGUACAUUGCCGUUGGAAAUGAAGUACACCCUGAUGCUGCAGAAGCUAAAUAUCUUCUUCCUGCCAUACAGAAUAUUCAGAAUGCGGUAACAGCUGCUAAUCUACAAGGCCAAAUCAAAGUUUCAACAGCAAUAGAUACAACAUUUUUACUCCCUGACUUUGUCCUUCCUUCAAAUGGGGCAUUCAGCGAUGCUGCAAAUUCAUUCAUUACCCCAAUUAUCACCUUUUUGAGCAACAAUGGAGCACCACUUCUUGUCAAUAUAUACCCCUACUUCGCCUAUAUUGGUGACCCAGUUAACAUAAAACUAGAAUAUGCCUUGUUCACUUCACCAGGGGUAGAACUACAGGAUGGUAGUAACGGGUACCAGAACAUCUUUGAUGCUCUCUUGGACACUCAUUACUCUGCUCUUGAAAAAGCAGGGGCUCCCAAUAUGGCGAUAGUUGUAUCCGAGAGUGGUUGGCCAUCUGAAGGUGGUGAUGCUGCAACUACUGGUAAUGCAGGAACUUACUACAGCAAAUUGAUCAAUCAUGUGAAGACCGGGACUCCAAAGAGACCAAAUGGAGCUAUUGAAACUUAUCUGUUUGCCAUGUUUGAUGAAAACCUGAAGGAUGGUGCAGAAGUUGAGAAACAUUUUGGUAUCUUCUCCCCUAACAAACAGCCCAAGUACCAACUCACCUUUGGCUAGUGCAGCCUCACAAACAUGUUUUAGUUAAACAAGAGUGCCUUGCGCCCAUGUAUUCUUGUGAAACGAAUACAAUACAAUAAGGAUAGAUAACCUCACACAACUGAGCAAGAAAAUCCCAGGCUUCUAUAACCAUUCCAGCUUCACACAACACAACUAUGGGUAUAGUAUACGAAACCGCGUCCAUUAUUUUACUUUGCAUCUUUUACUACAUGUCAACUUUAUGAGAAGAGUACCAAAGCAAUGAAAUUGUGGAGGCUUUGAAAUCAAGGUGUCCGUCCCUUAUAUAAAUGCAAGUAUGCAACAGCAGGUUUUGUACAUUUUUUUUUUGCAUUUAAAACACAGAAUUGAGAUCUCAGAGGCUCUAUAUCCUUUCAAAAAAGAAAAUUCAACUUAACUAAAACGGCACUGUAUUACUACAUAAUCUAUAUGAACAUUAUAAUAAGAAAUAAAUAAGUAAACAUGAACAUGUCAAUUCAACUAACAAAGAUCAGGACUUCAAUAUCAUAAUGACUUAAAAGAAUCCAAAUUUAUACCAGACAAACUCAAAUAGACAGCUGCACUUGCAGGAACAAUCUGAAACUUGAGUCAUGACAGUACUAAAAGUUCCAAAACAAAAAAGAAGAAGAAGAAUUAAAUGUAGCAAAGCAUCAAGUAAACAUCAUCAAUCAAAAACAAGAAAAAGUACCAACUGCAGUCAUGUUCAAACUGGGAGAGAUUCAAAACUUACCAAGACCUGUUCAGCAAGCUAUGGUUAGGGCUACCAAUGCUGAAAAGUGAUCUAACUACGAUUUUAGGAACUGGUGGAUCUUGUUUCCCCCAAUCUUAUUCUCACAAAAAGUGCAACAGCACUCUAAUUCCUGAUAAAAUCUUUACAUGGUGGACAUGAUUAUAUAUAAAUGUUCAAUGUCAAAUAAGGAUACAACAGGAUCAAGGGACAAGGCUGCUACAGCCAUAAUCUACUAGGUGAUCAAUUCAAGUCAGAAUGGUGAAUACCAAGGUUAAAUGCUUUCAGCAUCACAUUUCCACAAAUAAAACUAGGAUUAACACUGCAUCAUAGCAUUAGCAUAAGAGCAUGAUUCAACACUAAUAAGAGCUGCACUUGCUUUACGUGUGAACUUUAAUACCAAAUUGAUGACUCACCCAGCAUCUCAUGAUUCAUUUGGAGUAGGUUCUGCUGUUUCUGCAAGCCUCCUUUGCUUUAAGCGAAGCCUUCUCAGUUCUCCAGCACUCAAAACCAGGAACAUCC
This 1971-nucleotide long non-coding RNA is filed under the name Fragaria vesca (wild strawberry). RNAcentral describes it as "long non-coding RNA (FVES_LNC002026)". The record is from RNAcentral. Lineage: Eukaryota; Viridiplantae; Streptophyta; Magnoliopsida; Rosales; Rosaceae.